GUGCAGCAGUCGCGAAUCCUUCGCAAUGCGGGAAACCGCGACGAGGGGACUCCCAGUGCCUACGCUCAGCGUAGGCUGUUCCCGAGCCUAGAAAGCUCGGGGAGUAAGGGCUGGGUAAGACGGGUGCCAGCCGCCGCGGUAAUACCCCGCAGCCCGAGUGGUGGCCACUAUUAUUGGGCCUAAAGCGUCCGUAGCCGGCCCGGUAAAUGCCUGGGUAAAUCGUGAGGCCUAACCUCACGAAUUCCGGGUAGACUGCCGGGCUAGGGACCGGAGGAGGGAGAGGGGUACUCCAGGGGUAGGGGUGAAAUCCUGUAAUCCCUGGAGGACCACCGGUGGCGAAGGCGCUCUCCUAGGACGGGUCCGACGGUGAGGGACGAAAGCCAGGGGAGCGAGCCGGAUUAGAUACCCCUGU
Molecule: ribosomal RNA, 412 nt
Filed under: uncultured microorganism
Description: bacterial SSU rRNA
Rfam family: Archaeal small subunit ribosomal RNA
Source: RNAcentral